Molecule: ribosomal RNA, 393 nt
Filed under: uncultured bacterium
Lineage: Bacteria
Description: partial 16S ribosomal RNA
Rfam family: Bacterial small subunit ribosomal RNA
Source: RNAcentral
AUACGGAGGAUGCAAGCGUUAUCCGGAUUUAUUGGGUUUAAAGGGUGCGUAGGCGGUUUGCUAAGCGGGAGGUGAAAUGCCGGCGCUCAACGUCGGAAGUGCCUCCCGAACUGGUGGACUUGAAUGACUCUGCCGUGGGAGGAAUGUGUAGUGUAGCGGUGAAAUGCUUAGAGAUUACACAGAACACCGAUUGCGAAGGCAUCUCACGAAGGGUUGAUUGACGCUGAGGCACGAAAGCGUGGGGAUCAAACAGGAUUAGAUACCCUGGUAGUCCACGCAGUAAACGAUGAUGGCUAACCGCUGGGCUUAUCAGUUCAGUGGCCAAGCGAAAGCGAUAAGCCAUCCACCUGGGGAGUACGACCGCAAGGCUGAAACUCAAAUGAAUUGACGGGG